UCUGGUCUCACAUUAUCCGAACUGUUCAGCUUGUUCUUGCACCGGGCGUGUUAUAAUGUAACGCUUUUUAAAAUCUCUAGUUAUAUCACCAUUGUUAUUCCACAAGGUUAUCGCACUAGUGCUGUACAACGGUAAAUUGUAUUUACCCGGUAGAUACUUCUUUCUUUUGAAAAUAUUUAAAUCGUCUAUGGAAAUAUACUCAUGUGGAUGUUUGACGCAAAAUCGACUGGGGAGCCUAUAUGGAUCUAUUAAAAAACGAGUGUCGUGGAACAGGUGUACUCAGAUGUCGAGAGAUGUCCCAAUUUUUAUCGCUUAUACGGACAGACGGGCGGAGAUUUGUACAUAUAGGAUUCAUAUAUAUGUAUGUAUAGCUCUGUAAUAUGUUGCAACAGUUUAAAAGACAAUACCUAAAAACAUUACCAGUCGAAAAAGUAUUUAAAGAAGAAAUAAAAAACACAUGAAGAUUUAAUUUUAGGUUAUACUUAUCAUUUACAUCUAUUAGAGGACUAAAUAAAAGGUUUGCUGAGAUGACUUUUGACAGUUCAAAUUAAUAUACUGAUUAAUUAAGUUUGACACAUCGCUUGACAUCUGUGCAAUUGUAUCAUUAAAUGAGAUUCGGAGAAGGCUUUUUAUAUAAUAUUAUAUAUUACGAAGCUCCUUGCUCUCCUGACACUUGAUUUUAUAUACAGUUUAGUGUACCGUGAAAAAUUUGUUUGAAUAACCUUUUAACACAAGCACAAGUAAUAUUAUCUUGCAAUUCGUUGUAAAUUAGCCAUUAUGAUGAUA
This is a non-coding RNA of Bactrocera oleae (olive fruit fly), 786 nucleotides long. NCBI's taxonomy places the organism in Eukaryota, Metazoa, Arthropoda, Insecta, Diptera, Tephritidae. The record is from RefSeq and is a predicted model, not a curated record.